RNAcentral lists this transfer RNA (70 nucleotides) under Dipodomys ordii (Ord's kangaroo rat). It matches the Rfam family "tRNA". From Rfam's summary of the family: Transfer RNA (tRNA) molecules are approximately 80 nucleotides in length. Their secondary structure includes four short double-helical elements and three loops (D, anti-codon, and T loops). Lineage: Eukaryota; Metazoa; Chordata; Mammalia; Rodentia; Heteromyidae. The record is from Rfam by way of RNAcentral.
GGGAAAGUGGCUCAGUGGUAGAGCACUUGCCUUACACGCAUAAGGCCCUGAGUUUGAUUCCUCAGUACCA